Molecule: ribosomal RNA, 465 nt
Filed under: uncultured Klebsiella sp.
Lineage: Bacteria; Pseudomonadati; Pseudomonadota; Gammaproteobacteria; Enterobacterales; Enterobacteriaceae
Description: bacterial SSU rRNA
Rfam family: Bacterial small subunit ribosomal RNA
Source: RNAcentral
CCUACGGGCGGCUGCAGUGGGGAAUAUUGCACAAUGGGCGCAAGCCUGAUGCAGCCAUGCCGCGUGUGUGAAGAAGGCCUUCGGGUUGUAAAGCGCUUUCAGCGGGGAGGAAGGCGGUGAGGUUAAUAACCUCAUCGAUUGACGUUACCCGCAGAAGAAGCACCGGCUAACUCCGUGCCAGCAGCCGCGGUAAUACGGAGGGUGCAAGCGUUAAUCGGAAUUACUGGGCGUAAAGCGCACGCAGGCGGUCUGUCAAGUCGGAUGUGAAAUCCCCGGGCUCAACCUGGGAACUGCAUUCGAAACUGGCAGGCUAGAGUCUUGUAGAGGGGGGUAGAAUUCCAGGUGUAGCGGUGAAAUGCGUAGAGAUCUGGAGGAAUACCGGUGGCGAAGGCGGCCCCCUGGACAAAGACUGACGCUCAGGUGCGAAAGCGUGGGGAGCAAACAGGAUUAGAUACCCCGGUAGUC